UACGAAGGGGGCUAGCGUUGCUCGGAAUUACUGGGCGUAAAGGGCGCGUAGGCGGCACUGUUAGUCAGGCGUGAAAGUCCUGGGCUCAACCUGGGAACUGCGCUUGAUACGGCAGAGCUAGAGGAUGGAAGAGGGUCGCGGAAUUCCCAGUGUAGAGGUGAAAUUCGUAGAUAUUGGGAAGAACACCGGUGGCGAAGGCGGCGACCUGGUCCAUUACUGACGCUGAGGCGCGACAGUGUGGGGAGCGAACAGG
This 253-nucleotide ribosomal RNA is filed under the name uncultured bacterium. RNAcentral describes it as "partial 16S ribosomal RNA". It matches the Rfam family "Bacterial small subunit ribosomal RNA", at positions 524 to 776 of the family's 1533-position model. The record is from RNAcentral.